GAUGAACGCUGGCGGCGUGCUUAACACACGCAAGUCGAACGGUGAAGCAGGAGCUUGCUCUUGUGGAUCAGUGGCGAACGGGUGAGUAACACGUGAGCAACCUGCCCCUGACUCUGGGAUAAGCGCUGGAAACGGCGUCUAAUACUGGAUAUGUGAUGUGACCGCAUGGUCUGCAUCUGGAAAGAAUUUCGGUUGGGGAUGGGCUCGCGGCCUAUCAGCUUGUUGGUGAGGUAAUGGCUCACCAAGGCGUCGACGGGUAGCCGGCCUGAGAGGGUGACCGGCCACACUGGGACUGAGACACGGCCCAGACUCCUACGGGAGGCAGCUGUGGGGAAUAUUGCACAAUGGGCGGAAGCCUGAUGCAGCAACGCCGCGUGAGGGAUGACGGCCUUCGGGUUGUAAACCUCUUUUAGCAGGGAAGAAGCGAAAGUGACGGUACCUGCAGAAAAAGCACCGGCUAACUACGUGCCAGCCGCCGCAGUAA
Molecule: ribosomal RNA, 484 nt
Filed under: uncultured bacterium
Lineage: Bacteria
Description: partial 16S ribosomal RNA
Rfam family: Bacterial small subunit ribosomal RNA
Source: RNAcentral